Molecule: ribosomal RNA, 498 nt
Filed under: uncultured bacterium
Lineage: Bacteria
Description: partial 16S ribosomal RNA
Rfam family: Bacterial small subunit ribosomal RNA
Source: RNAcentral
AUUGAACGCUGGCGGCAUGCCUUACACAUGCAAGUCGAACGGUAACAGGUCUUCGGAUGCUAACGAGUGGCGAACGGGCGAGCAAUACAUCGGAACGUGCCUAGUAGUGGGGGAUAACUACUCGAAAGAGUGGCUAAUACCGCAUGAGAUCUACGGAUGAAAGCAGGGGAUCGCAAGACCCUGUGCUACUAGAGCGGCCGAUGGCAGAUUAGGUAGUUGGUGGGAUAAAAGCUUACCAAGCCGACGAUCUGUAGCUGGUCUGAGAGGACGAUCAGCCACACUGGGACUGAGACACGGCCCAGACUCCUACGGGAGGCAGCAGAGGGGAAUUUUGGACAAUGGGCGAAAGCCUGAUCCAGCAAUGCCGCGUGCAGGACGAAGGCCUUCGGGUUGUAAACUGCUUUUGUACGGAACGAAAAGCCCCGGGUUAAUACCCUGGGGUCAUGACGGUACCGUAAGAAUAAGCACCGACUAACUACGUGCCAGCAGCCGCCGUAA